Molecule: unclassified non-coding RNA, 329 nt
Filed under: soil metagenome
Description: partial contains 5.8S ribosomal RNA, internal transcribed spacer 2, and large subunit ribosomal RNA
Rfam family: 5.8S ribosomal RNA (bases 1-120)
Source: RNAcentral
GAUGAAGAACGUAGCGAAAUGCGAUAAGUAAUGUGAAUUGCAGAAUUCAGUGAAUCAUCGAAUCUUUGAACGCACAUUGCGCCCCUUGGUAUUCCGAGGGGCAUGCCUGUUCGAGCGUCAUUAUAACCCCUCAAGCUCAGCUUGGUGUUGGGGCCUGCUGCACUGGCAGCCCUUAAAAUCAGUGGCGGCGCCAUCUGGCUCUAAGCGUAGUAAUUCUUCUCGCUAUGGAGUCCUGGUGGAUGCUUGCCAUCAACCCCCUAUUUUUCUAUGGUUGACCUCGGAUCAGGUAGGGAUACCCGCUGAACUUAAGCAUAUCAAUAAGCGGAGGA